UUCGCUAGUAAUCGCGCAUCAGCCAUGGCGCGGUGAAUACGUUCCCGGGGCCCUUGUACACACCGCCCGUCAAGCCAUGGGAGCCGGGGGUGCCUGAAGUUCGUGACCGCAAGGAGCGACCUAGGGCAAAACUGGAGACUGGGGCUAAGUCGUAACAAGGUAUC
This 164-nucleotide ribosomal RNA is filed under the name uncultured bacterium. RNAcentral's name for it is "partial 16S ribosomal RNA". It matches the Rfam family "Bacterial small subunit ribosomal RNA", at positions 1331 to 1500 of the family's 1533-position model. The record is from RNAcentral.